Molecule: non-coding RNA, 107 nt
Organism: Ricinus communis (castor bean)
Lineage: Eukaryota; Viridiplantae; Streptophyta; Magnoliopsida; Malpighiales; Euphorbiaceae
Source: Rfam
GGGUACAUGGUGUGGGCAUUGCAAUAAAAGUGAUAUGAAGCAAUCUCAAGCUUCAUAAAAGAACUCAUUAUCCUUUUGAUGAAGCUAGAAAUUUCAACCCUUAAUUU